This 437-nucleotide ribosomal RNA is filed under the name uncultured anaerobic ammonium-oxidizing bacterium. RNAcentral's name for it is "bacterial SSU rRNA". It matches the Rfam family "Bacterial small subunit ribosomal RNA", at positions 383 to 810 of the family's 1533-position model. The record is from RNAcentral.
GUGACGAAGCGACGCCGCGUGUGGGAUGAAGGCCUUCGGGUUGUAAACCACUGUCGGGAGUUAAGAAUUGUAGGAAUGCUAAUAGUAUUUCUACUUGACUAAGGCUCCGGAGGAAGCCACGGCUAACUCUGUGCCAGCAGCCGCGGUAAUACAGAGGCGGCAAGCGUUGUUCGGAAUUAUUGGGCGUAAAGAGCAUGUAGGCGGCUACGUAAGUCGGUUGUGAAAGCCUUCCGCUUAACGGAAGAAUGGCGGUUGAAACUGCAUGGCUUGAGUGCGGGAGGGGAGAGUGGAACUUCUGGUGGAGCGGUGAAAUGCGUAGAUAUCAGAAGGAACGUCGGCGGCGAAAGCGACUCUCUAGACCGUAACUGACGCUGAGUGUGCGAAAGCUAGGGGAGCAAACGGGAUUAGAUACCCCGGUAGUCCUAGCCGUAAACGAU